AAAUAGCAACAGGCGUGGUUCCUUAAUUGCAGCUGCAGCUUGAGUUCUUGAGUUAAAGCCUAUGAAGUGAGACGGUGCAGAGGGAAAGAUAACGGUAUUCAUUCACCCCUGGCACAGGGACGUCCUACGCGAAAAGUCCAGCAGGCUCCCUGAUAGCAGCACAGACAGCAGCCUGUUGUUGGGGGUUGCUGGAAUCCCCCUGGAAUCUUCCUUGCUUUGGAUAGUUUGAUGCAUAUGUCCUGUUGGCUCAGUAGACCAUCCUCCCAAGGACCAAGUGGCCCCAUCAAAUGCAGAUCCUCUUCCAGCAGGUCAUCUUCCAGAGUACCCACUACGUCACCACGUCAUCGCCUGGCUCCUGUGGUCACAUUUAUGGGAUUUUAGGGCUUCCAUUGGUCCAGGGUGUGGCUGAGGGAUUCCUCGAAGGAAGUGCUAGAAGGGGCUUAUAUGAACCUGUGAACAUCUGCCCGCGAUACAGUGGGAGGAGCGGACCGGAGAGACUGAGAUGAGGUUGAGUUCAUGUGAACCACCCAUGGCGCCGGACUGUUACGGCCAUCAGUAAAUCUACCAUCUCACUGCUAUCAAGCAUGGAGGGAGACUCAUCUCGCACUCAAAUAUCUCCGUGGGGAAUGGAAAGAUGGCAGAGAUGCAUGCCGAGGCCACUCCUUUUAUCCGGGCCAUAGAAAGAGAAACAUAGGCUUGGCUGACAAGGAAAAUGCAACAUUUUCCACACCGUGACACCUCACAUCUUCAAAUUGAUGCCUUGUCCAAAAUAGACAGAAGGAGACUCAUUGGAGGUCAUGGGAGGGCUGAGCUGACAAUCAAGCGACCGGCUGUCACUCAUAGCCCCAUCACAGCUCCAUCACCAGCCGCGCAGCGUCGAAUCUUGUGACGACCACAUGACUACAAUGGCACAUUUCUGUUCUUUUUUUGACAGGUAUGUAUCAGCUUGAUGGAUUGACAUCAACGAAAAUCUUUCAUCAAGACCCAAAUAUUCUUUGUAAUGAGCCUCAUUGUGAAACAUGAAGGCAGGCAGAUGCUCUCUUAUGGGUUCAAGUGCCAUCAAGGAAGCCAUUGUCUUCUUAAAGCCACACACUGUAUGUAUUUAUAUCAGUGGUUUUCAGCCUUCUUUGUCUCAUAUGUCCCUACAGCUUUAUAAAUCUUAACUCAAGCAACCAUUCUUUGGCAUCACUCGCCCUUGUCCAAUCAUGUUCAUUACAUUUGAUUUUUCAGGGGUUGUUGGUUCUGUUUUGUUUCACGGUGCACCAAAUAUUUUCACCCAGUGAUGGGUUUGGUAUGCAGGCAGGCCAGUUUAUCAACUAGUCUUUUCCUAAUAAGCCGCAAUGUAAUACCUAGUAAAUUAGAUAAUUAAAUGCUGUUGUUGUCUCUAGCUGGUGCCAGAAAUACUAGUUGAUUAGCUAAUUUAAAAAAAAUAUGUAGGAC
Long non-coding RNA from Oreochromis niloticus (Nile tilapia), 1440 nucleotides. RefSeq lists it as uncharacterized. The transcript has 6 exons. NCBI's taxonomy places the organism in Eukaryota, Metazoa, Chordata, Actinopteri, Cichliformes, Cichlidae. The record is from RefSeq and is a predicted model, not a curated record.